This 72-nucleotide transfer RNA is filed under the name bacterium. Its description in RNAcentral is "tRNA-Arg". It matches the Rfam family "tRNA". From Rfam's summary of the family: Transfer RNA (tRNA) molecules are approximately 80 nucleotides in length. Their secondary structure includes four short double-helical elements and three loops (D, anti-codon, and T loops). The record is from RNAcentral.
GCCCUUGUAGUUCAACGGAUAGAACAGCUCGGUCCUAACGAGCAGAUGGAAGUUCGAUUCUCCCCGAGGGCA